CGAGAAUCUAAGUGGAGUCAAAGUUCUGCUUCACCAAGGCCCACAAAAUGGGUGAGCAGCAUGCAUGGGUAUGAAGAGGCAAGUAAACUGCAUUGUGUCAUCCAAGUAAAACACAGCACGGCCUCCUGCCACUGACAGACCCUGUUUCCAUAAUUUCUGGAUGAGAAAGCCAAGUCAUGUCAGUAGUUAAUCAGCUCUGGAGGAAAGUGAACACCUAUAAACACGGCAGAAUGCAAUACUUCCAGAAAGGCUUUUAACACCUACAGAAUCUAAACAUUUUGUAAGAGGUGGGGUUAACAAGCUUGUGUGCUAUUUGGGGGUGGGGCUGAGCAUCAGAGGCAAAGUUUUUCGUAAGCCUCUUUCUCUCGAUGGAUUAGGCAGGAAUGACUUUCCUCCAGGGGACGGUCCCAUCUUCAGAAAGUUAAAAGGGUCCAUUUGGGAUCCCAGAGCCUAGCACGGUGCUAUGUACAAAGCGGUGGCCCAAGGUUUCUUGAAUGAAUAAAAAACUCAAGAGCACAGAGAAAAUCUGGCUCUCCCAAGUAAACUGUAAUUUACAUUUUCAUGGGAUUAUAAUAGGAUCUUCAGUGAGUGGAGCAAGAAGAUAGACAGCAGUAAUCCGGAAGGCAGCAUAGGAGUAAUAGCAAAAGUUAAGAGAUGUAGGGGCCACAGUGAAAACAGCUUUGUGACUGUGGGAGAGUCCCAGAAACAGUAUUUCUUUCCUUAUCCACACACGGAGCAUGGCCCAAGAACCCCCAGCUCUAGAACUCUGUUAUUCUUUAAGCAAUAAGUGCUCUGGUUCAAUCAACUGUGGUCAAAGACCACUUCAUCUGCCUCUAAAGCCAUUCCGCGAAUAGUGUGGCCUCUUAAGCUUUUCUCUUAGCUGUACAUUCUCUUGUCAACUGUAGGUUUCAUGAAGCACAUGGUUUCCUUCAAAACAGAACAAAAAACUUUAAGGUAAGUCAUAAGGAUGGUUUCCUCUUGUGAAAAAUGGGGAAGUUAGUCUAUAUCAUGUCUAUGGUCUCUACCAGAUCCAUGAGUCAGAGAAAACAUGAAGCGCAUCACAUUUUUUGGGCAACCCAUAGAACUAUCCUACUCUCCAGCCAUCCUAACUGCCACUGUGCCUGGGGCUGUGCAAUGCUGCUGCCUCCUCUGUUCUUAUCCCUGUGUCUGCUUUGGGAACGCCCCCUUAUCGCUGGGUUCUCAGCCCAGGCAUCUGGGACCUCUGGCUAGAAAUCCUCAGGUAAAGACGAUCCUCCUUCCUGAGUCCUCCCAUUUCACAUCAGGACUUCUAAUCUAACACGGAUCUCAUUUUCCUGAGAAUUUUAGUCUCCAUGCCAACCUCCCUCACUAUAAAAUGAAUUUCUUGCAACAGGGAUCUUACUUGUUUUGCGUCCCCAGUGGCUAGCACAUUUUGUUGAGAAUUCAUUCAAAAUAUUCAGGAGACUCAACCAUAUAAAGAUGGUGCCAAUUGCCCAUGUGCUAUUUGGGCUGCCAUCUGUAGGAUGUGGCUUCAAGUUAGAGCUCCCUUGGCAGUUUUAAAGGAUCCUUGUUAGUAGAUGGUUCCAUUUUUUACUUUGUGCCUACUUCUCAUUUGUGAAUAAAUGUCCCCCCCCAAAGUCAACACUAGUCUAAUAAAAGAAGCAAAGGAAAUGUGCGUUAACAUCUACAUACAAAUUUUGUGAAAUUGCUACUUGUUAGAAUAACAUAAUAGAGCUUAUGACAUAACAAUAUAAAAACAAAAAUGAUUUUUAGUGAGGUCUGAGUUAAUUAUUGCUUUU
Molecule: long non-coding RNA, 1778 nt
Filed under: Homo sapiens (human)
Lineage: Eukaryota; Metazoa; Chordata; Mammalia; Primates; Hominidae
Description: non-protein coding lnc-C9orf152-5:1
Source: RNAcentral